UUUCGUAAUUCGUUCCGCCAAUUUCUUCUCUAUUAUUCCCCUUUUUCUUCCGCUUUGAUCUGUUUACAGCCUUAAUGUCUUUCAGAAGUUUCAGAAUUGACGCCGGUCUGCGAUUUACUGUUCGCGGCAGUGAAUCUCCGUACCAGGCAAAGUUCCACUGCGAUUUUAUCUCUCGUAGCAAAUAUGCUUCUGCGGGAUGAACCAAAACCCUUCCAAAUCAAGAGCUAGAGCUUGUGUUAUUGAUAGGAAUGAGUUAUAGCAAAUAUGUGAACAAAUGCAAAUUUUCAAUCACAAUUUAGUAUUCAUCAUUGAUGUGGCUGUAUGAUCCCUUCACAUAUGAGAACAACAAUUCAAUAUCUCUUCAACCUGACACAAGGGGAAGGUAUUGUGUAAUCAAUCGGCUAUUGUAACUUUGAUACGGCGCGGACCACCUCAAUAUGAAGAUUUGUAUUGGGUCAGGUCGUGACAUCAAAUAAGUUGGCAAGGCCAACCACUUAGUAAUGAGUGCAUGCACCAUCUAAUGAGUGUGUGCUGGUGUAUAACUCUAGAUGAGAGCUUUCAUAGGGAUAAUUUGAUGGCCCUCGAAGCCAUCACAAUGAUGAUGAUGUAGCUAUUAUUAUCUGUUCUUUUUUUAUGUGCAGUGUGAAGCUCAGGUCAUACACAAGGAAGAUUGAACCAACCCAGUAUAAUUCCCUGAGAUCAAUCAGUUAAAGGGUCUUUGGACAUUUGAGUUAGGUUUACCUUCCAAAUGAGGAUGCUGAUAUCAAAUUGGUUGCCGUCGAACGAUGAGAUCGGAGAUAUGGAAGCGCCG
This is a long non-coding RNA of Phalaenopsis equestris, 811 nucleotides long. RefSeq lists it as uncharacterized. NCBI's taxonomy places the organism in Eukaryota, Viridiplantae, Streptophyta, Magnoliopsida, Asparagales, Orchidaceae. The record is from RefSeq and is a predicted model, not a curated record. The transcript has 4 exons.